AUUGAACGCUGGCGGCAUGCUUUACACAUGCAAGUCGUACGGUAACAGGUUAAGCUGACGAGUGGCGAACGGGUGAGUAAUGCAUCGGAACGUGCCCGGUCGUGGGGGAUAACGCAGCGAAAGCUGCGCUAAUACCGCAUACGAUCUGAGGAUGAAAGCGGGGGACCGUAAGGCCUCGCGCGAUCGGAGCGGCCGAUGUCAGAUUAGGUAGUUGGUGGGGUAAAGGCUCACCAAGCCGACGAUCUGUAGCUGGUCUGAGAGGACGACCAGCCACACUGGGACUGAGACACGGCCCAGACUCCUACGGGAGGCAGCAGUGGGGAAUUUUGGACAAUGGGCGCAAGCCUGAUCCAGCAAUGCCGCGUGCAGGAAGAAGGCCUUCGGGUUGUAAACUGCUUUUGUACGGAACGAAAAGGCUCUCUCUAAUACAGGGAGCUCAUGACGGUACCGUAAGAAUAAGCACCGGCUAACUACGUGCCAGCAGCCGCAGUAA
RNAcentral lists this ribosomal RNA (493 nucleotides) under uncultured bacterium. RNAcentral describes it as "partial 16S ribosomal RNA". It matches the Rfam family "Bacterial small subunit ribosomal RNA", at positions 30 to 523 of the family's 1533-position model. The record is from RNAcentral.